RNAcentral lists this unclassified non-coding RNA (378 nucleotides) under plant metagenome. RNAcentral's name for it is "partial contains 5.8S ribosomal RNA, internal transcribed spacer 2, and large subunit ribosomal RNA". The stretch from base 1 to 105 matches the Rfam family "5.8S ribosomal RNA", at positions 50 to 154 of the family's 154-position model. The record is from RNAcentral.
GAAAUGCGAUAAGUAAUGUGAAUUGCAGAAUUCAGUGAAUCAUCGAAUCUUUGAACGCAUCUUGCGCUCCUUGGUAUUCCUUGGAGCAUGCCUGUUUGAGUAUCCUGAAAUCUUCAAAGUAAAUCUUUUGUUAACUCAAUUGGUUUCUACUUUGGUAUUGGAGGUCUUUGCAGCUUCACACCUGCUCCUCUUUGUUCAUUAGCUGGAUCUCAGUGUUAUGCUUGGUUCCACUCGGCGUGAUAAGUUAUCUAUCGCUGAGGACACUGUAAAAGGUGGCCAAGGUAAAUGCAGAUGAACCGCUUCUAAUAGUCCAUUGACUUGGACAAUACUUUUAUGAUCUGAUCUCAAAUCAGGUAGGACUACCCGCUGAACUUAUGC